RNAcentral lists this long non-coding RNA (291 nucleotides) under Piliocolobus tephrosceles (Ugandan red Colobus). RNAcentral's name for it is "lncRNA (ENSPTEG00000038863.1)". Lineage: Eukaryota; Metazoa; Chordata; Mammalia; Primates; Cercopithecidae. The record is from RNAcentral.
AUGGUCGAUGCUUCUGAGCAACAUAGGCCCACAUGGAUUCCAUGUGGCCUGGCAUCCACUGUGCACCCUGUGCUGGCGGGUGGCUCAGGAUGGAGUAGUUGCCUUGCGAUGCCCACUGCCUGCUGGCACAGCAGAUGGUCAGUUCUUCUGAGCAGUGGAGUCCCCACGGAGUCGUGGAGUCGGUGUGGCCUGGCAUCCACGGUGUACCCUGUGCUGGUGGAUGGCUCAGGACGGUGCAGCUUUCCUGGGAGGCAUGGCACCUGCUGGAAGGAAGAUAGUCGAUUCUCCUGA